CAGAGGGUGCAAGCGUUGUUCGGAAUUACUGGGCGUAAAGCGCGCGCAGGCGGAUCCAUAAGUCUGGAGUGAAAUCUCACCGCUCAACGGUGGGGCUGCUUUGGAUACUGCGGAUCUGGAGACCGGUAGAGGCUGGUGGAAUUGCAGGUGUAGCGGUGGAAUGCGUAGAGAUCUGCAAGAACACCCGUGGCGAAGGCGGCCAGCUGGGCCGGUUCUGACGCUGAGGCGCGAAAGCGUGGGGAGCAAACAGGAUUAGAUACCCUGGUAGUCCACGCCGCAAACGAUGGGCACUAGGUGCUGGGGGGAGCGACCCCGUCAGUGCCGCAGCUAACGCGAUAAGUGCCCCGCCUGGGGAGUACGGCCGCAAGGCUG
RNAcentral lists this ribosomal RNA (372 nucleotides) under uncultured organism. Its description in RNAcentral is "bacterial SSU rRNA". It matches the Rfam family "Bacterial small subunit ribosomal RNA", at positions 526 to 896 of the family's 1533-position model. The record is from RNAcentral.